RNAcentral lists this ribosomal RNA (468 nucleotides) under uncultured bacterium. Its description in RNAcentral is "partial 16S ribosomal RNA". It matches the Rfam family "Bacterial small subunit ribosomal RNA", at positions 28 to 507 of the family's 1533-position model. The record is from RNAcentral.
GACGAACGCUGGCGGCGUGCUUAACACAUGCAAGUCGAACGGAAAGGCCCUGCUUUUGUGGGGUGCUCGAGUGGCGAACGGGUGAGUAACACGUGAGUAACCUGCCCUUGACUUUGGGAUAACUUCAGGAAACUGGGGCUAAUACCGGAUAGGAGCUCCUGCUGCAUGGUGGGGGUUGGAAAGUUUCGGCGGUUGGGGAUGGACUCGCGGCUUAUCAGCUUGUUGGUGGGGUAGUUGCUUUCCAAGGCUUUGACGGGUAGCCGGCCUGAGAGGGUGACCGGCGACAUUGGGACUGAGGUACGGCCCAGACUCCUACGGGAGGCAACAGUGGGAAGUAUUGCACAAUGGGCGGGAGCCUGAUACAGCAGCGCCGCGUUCGGGAUAACGGCCUUCGGGUUGUAAACCGCUUUCGCCUGUGACGAAGCGUGAGUGACGGUAAUGGGUAAAGAAGCACCGGCUAACUACGUG